Molecule: small nuclear RNA, 107 nt
Organism: Heterocephalus glaber (naked mole-rat)
Lineage: Eukaryota; Metazoa; Chordata; Mammalia; Rodentia; Bathyergidae
Source: Ensembl
GUGCUCGCUUCAGCAGCAUAUUUACUAAAAUUGGCACACUACAGAGAAGAUUAGCAUGGCCCCUGUGCAAGGAUGCCACACAAAUUCAUGAAGCGUUCCAUAUUUAA